UUGGAGGGCAAGUCUGGUGCCAGCAGCCGCGGUAAUUCCAGCUCCAAUAGCGUAUAUUAAAGUUGUUGCAGUUAAAAAGCUCGUAGUUGAAUUUCGGGGUUAGUAGGUUGGUCAUGCCUCUGGUAUGUACUGGUCUCACUGAUUCCUCCUUUGGAGGGCAAGUCUGGUGCCAGCAGCCGCGGUAAUUCCAGCUCCAAUAGCGUAUAUUAAAGUUGUUGCAGUUAAAAAGCUCGUAGUUGAAUUUCGGGGUUAGUAGGUUGGUCAUGCCUCUGGUAUGUACUGGUCUCACUGAUUCCUCCUUCCUGAUGAGCCGUAAUGCCAUUAAUUUGGUGUUGCGGGGAAUUUGGACUGUUACUUUGAAAAAAUUAGAGUGUUUAAAGCAAGCUAACGCUUGAAUACAUUAGCAUGGAAUAAUGAAAUAGGACGUUCGAUCCUAUUUUGUUGGUUUCUAGGAUUGACGUAAUGAUUAAUAGGGAUAGUUGGGGGCAUUAGUAUUCAAUUGUCAGAGGUGAAAUUCUUGGAUUUAUUGAAGACUAACUACUGCGAAAGCAUUUGCCAAGGAUGUUUUCAUUAAUCAAGAACGAAAGUUAGGGGAUCGAAGACGAUCAGAUACCGUCGUAGUCUUAACCAUAAACUAUGCCGACUAGGGAUCGGAUGAUGUUAAUUUUUUAAUGACUCAUUCGGCGCCUUACGGGAAAC
Molecule: ribosomal RNA, 699 nt
Filed under: uncultured Glomus
Lineage: Eukaryota; Fungi; Glomeromycota; Glomeromycetes; Glomerales; Glomeraceae
Description: bacterial SSU rRNA
Rfam family: Eukaryotic small subunit ribosomal RNA (bases 101-699)
Source: RNAcentral